AUUGAACGCUGGCGGCAUGCCUUACACAUGCAAGUCGAACGGCAGCACGGGAGCAAUCCUGGUGGCGAGUGGCGAACGGGUGAGUAAUAUAUCGGAACGUGCCCAGUCGUGGGGAUAACGUAGCGAAAGCUACGCUAAUACCGCAUACGAUCUACGGAUGAAAGCGGGGGAUCGCAAGACCUCGCGCGAUUGGAGCGGCCGAUAUCAGAUUAGGUAGUUGGUGAGGUAAAGGCUCACCAAGCCGACGAUCUGUAGCUGGUCUGAGAGGACGACCAGCCACACUGGGACUGAGACACGGCCCAGACUCCUACGGGAGGCGGCAGUGGGGAAUUUUGGACAAUGGGCGCAAGCCUGAUCCAGCAAUGCCGCGUGCAGGAUGAAGGCCUUCGG
This 390-nucleotide ribosomal RNA is filed under the name uncultured bacterium. RNAcentral's name for it is "bacterial SSU rRNA". It matches the Rfam family "Bacterial small subunit ribosomal RNA", at positions 30 to 421 of the family's 1533-position model. The record is from RNAcentral.